AAGUUUCGAGUUUUUGGGACUUUUCUAUUGCCUGCUUUCUACUCAAAAUCCUUCUGACCAUUUUCCAUGGCCUCCCACUUUCUGGUUCGUUUCAUCAUCUUGACGCUUAAACAUAAUCUUCGCUUUUUUAAGAGUAAAUGGCUUAUACAUACUCUGUUUUCUUUUAAGAGAAAUCUACUUAUGAGGCUUAAACGACUUCCCUUUAACCCUAUUAGGCUCAGUUUACCCAAGUGCUGAACAUUAAUAAUAGCAUUUUCGCUGCGGCGAACUCAAUAGUAGUACACAUGAUUCCUCUUAAAAGGGAGACUUAAAUUUACUGUUCAUAAUUGUCACAUCACUUUUAACAUUUAGCCGGUUUCAAAUUGGUUUGGGUUUUUGGUUUUUUUGUUUUUAAUUGCAAUCUCAAAUCUAGACACUUCAACCGCCCACUUCUCCAAUUCAUUUCUACUAUUAUUCCAGUAUUUUUAUCCAAGAAUUCUCUUCUUCACAAAGAGGUCCACAAAUUCCAACUUUGUGUUUACAGCUUUUUUUGUCUCUUCGAUCUUUACCAGUAGUUUUCUUCCAACCAUACACCUCCUUGCCGGAAGCUACAGAUCAGAACCGAAACUUGAGGCAACCGACGAGUGUUCAUAGUCCGAUUUUAUUGCCGUUUUUGGUUUUGGGACCGAAGCAAAGCAACCCUACCGCCUUGGGUAUGCUACUUUUGUUAUUUUUCCAUUAAAAUAAUGUAGUUUCAUUUAUUCAUCUUAUUAGUUUCUUAUCAAGAGGCACUUGUUCGUUAAAUUUUUGUUAUUUUUCUUGGUUUUUGUUUAAUUUUUUCGCAGGAGCAGGCCUUUAUAUGGGAUAAAGAAGGUAACUCCUUUUCAUUUCUUUUUCUUGUUUGAAGUAUGUCUCUAAUACUUUGUGUUGCUUAUUAUACACUCGAGUAGAAAAGGGCUUUUUUGUGUUGGGGUGGGGAUGGUUGUGGGCAAAGAUUUCUUAUCCCAAAAAUAAUUUUUGGGUAAUGCUAAUAAUAGAGAGCAAUUGAAAUUUGUUGAAAAUUGAUCAAUAAGGGUAUGAAUCAUAUUAGCAUUACUGCCUAUUAUCACCAUAUCAUCAACGUAAAACAGCAAAUAGAUGACACCAUGAGAGCCAUUAUAAACAAAUAGGAAUGAGUCAGCCUGACUAGCAACAAAGUCAAGGCUGAACAAAGAGAAGCUGAACCUUUGAAACCAUGCCCUUGGAGCCUGUUUAAGAUCAUAGAGAGCUCGCUGCAUGCGACAUACAUGAGUGGGUAUUGUCGUAUUGAGAAUUAACAUAACCUGGAGGUUGUUCUUUUUUCUUCUUUUGAAAGAUGGCCAUGCAAGAUAACAUUUUUAAUGUCAAGCUGGUGAAGAUGCCAAUUGUGCAUAGCAGUAGAAGAAAGGAUUAUUUGAACUGUGGCACGACGAACAAUCGGACUGAAAAUCUUUUCAAAGUUGAUGUCAUGUUUUUGAUAAAAUCUCUGUGCUACUGGACGAGCUUUAUGAUGUUCUAUAGUACCAUCUGCAUGAAAUUUAAUUUUAAAAAUCCAAUGACAACCCACAACAUUAUGAAUAGAAGGUCAAGGUACCAGUCGCCAAGUGUUAUUUUGCCUGAGAGCUACUAUUUCAUUAUCUAUUGUAGUAAGCCAUUCCUGAUGUUUUAAGGCUGAUUUAAAAUCCCGUAGCUCUUUAAUAGCAAGAUGUAUCUGAAACCAUGGAGGAGAUGACAAAGUAAUUAAGGAAUGAAUAUUAACAAGCUUAACAAUAUCAUUCCUUAUAUGAGUAAUCAUAGGAUGUGGAGUUGGUGGCGAUAUAAUGAGGAAGAAUUAAGUGGAAUGACAUCUGAAGCAGUCAGAGACUCGGACGGAGGAACGUCAGAUGCUGCUGAAGGAUGCACAGAAUCGAGAAGAAGAUAAAACGUACAAUCAUGGUUAGCACAUGGGAUACACUGAGAAAAUGCCUUGUGAUACUUCGAAGUCAUAUCUGGGGGUGCAUUUUGUGCACAAUACAAAGAAUGAUUAAUAGGAUCAAAAAAAGGGGACACAAUUAGUGAAAACAUGAGAUGGAAGAGUGGAGUAUUUGUAAGGAAAAUGAUCCUUAAAAAAUUGCACAUGACGAGGGAUAUAAAUAUGGUAAGAUUUUGUAUCUAAACAAUGAGAACAUUUUGCAGUGAACUGUAGCCUAAAAAUACGCAUGGGAAAGUAGAGAGUUGUGAGGAAUAUAGUCACGAAGAAAAGGAAAACAUAAAUAUCCAAAAGUUUGGAGAGAGGAGUAAGAAUGAACUUUAUCAUACAAUACUUCAUGAGGUGUCUUGCCACCAAGAAUCGGUGAUGGGAGCCGAUUGAUGAGAUAACAAGCUGUAGAGAAAGACUCAACCCACAAUUUUAAAGGAACAUGAGAAUGAAAGAGCAAGAUGAGUCUGGUUUCACUGAUAUGCCUAUGUUUACGCUCGGCAAUGCCAUUUUCCUUUGGGUGUAAGGAUAACAUAUGCGUUGAACUAUAUCACAUCAUGAAGAUAAGAAGUGAAUUUGUUAUUUGUGAACUCUAUUCCAUAAUUACAUUAGAAUGAUUUUAUGCUCCUAUCAAAUUGGUUUUUGACACAAAUGACAAAACGAACAAAAAUAUCAAAGAAAUAUGAUUUGAACUUGAGAGAAAAAUGUUGGAUAAUUUAGUUCUUUAAAUUACCGGAUCUUUCAUGUCAAAUCAUCAAGAAAUAUAAGAAUUAAAGCGGAAGCAUACCUGAAUCAGAUAUGGUUAAUGCAAUAGGAAUUUCGCGGUAUGGUCUUCCAAAUCUACACGCAGUCUCAUUUUCCUCUCUGUGAUGGGAUGCAGUAGAGAAUGAAUAAUACGUUGCCUGUGAUCUGGGGACCAUAACCUAUUUAUAUAGGGAUAUCCUUUGACCUAAUUUGGCCAUCAUAGAAUUAGGAUUUGGGCCCAGUCUCUACACAUAUGUAAAUCCAUACUUUAAUUGGAUACAUUAAAGCCAAAAAUCGAAGCCUUUUUUAGAUCACUUUAAUUGGGCUCAACCGAAUUCGAUAGCCUAUAAUUUAACACACAAUUAUUCACACAUACAAGUCCAUAUUUAAUUAAAAAUCCUUACAAUCUCCCACUUGGGCUGGUGGAUCUCCUUCUAUCUUGGCAUCCUGCGAAAUCGAAAUCAGAAUAACCAAUGAUCUCCAACUUAUCUGAUCUCCUGUAUGUGAGCAUGUAGUCUUUUGUUCUCUGUAAAUACCGCAUGACCCGUUAGGCUGCUUUCCAAUGAUCCAUUCCCGGGUUACUUAAAUAUCUCCCUAGCAUCCCAACGAUGUACGCUAUAUUCAGACGCGUACAAACUUGAGCAUACAUCAGACUCCCUAUAGCUGAGGAAUAAGGAAUCUUCUGCAUUUCUUUAAUUUCUGAGUCAUUUUUAGGGCACUGACUUAAGCUGAACUUGUCUCCUUUAGCCACAGGAGUGUCACAUGGUUUACAAUUUUGCAUGCUAUAUCUUUGAAGUACCUUUUCGAUACAGCUCUUUUGUGAUAACCCAAGAAUGCCUUGAGAACGAUCUUGGUGUAUCUGAAUUCCUAAUACAAAAGAGGCAUCACCAAGAUCUUUCAUCUCAAAAUUCUUUGCUAGAAAUCUCUUGGUUUCAUGCAAUAUGCCAUCGACAUAUAAAACCAGAAAAAUAUAUUUGCUCCCACUGAACUUGUGGUAUAUACAAUCAUCAACCAAAUUCAUCUCAAAAUCAAAUAAGAUGAUCACAUGAUGAAACUUGUAAUACCAUUGACGAGAUGCAUGUUUGAGUCCAUAGAUGGAUUUCUUUAAUUUACAAACCAUUUGCUUUGCAUCGUCCGAUACAAAGUUUUCUGGUUUACCAUAUAAAUUGUUUCAUCAAUGUCACCAUUGAGAAACGCUGUCUUAACAUCCAUCUGAUGUAACUCAAGAUCGAAAUGCGCUACCAAUGCCAUUAUAGUCCUGAAAGAGUCUUUCGAAGAAAUCGGAGAGAAAGUCUCGUUAUAAUCGAUGCCUUCUUUCUGUGUAAAGCCUUUUGCGACAAGACGAGCUUUAUACCUCUCUACAUCACCUUUCGAAUCCCUCUUGGUCUUAAAUAUCCAUUUGCAACCAAUGGGUUUCGCACCUUCAGGCAAUGGAACGAGGUCCCAUACGUCAUUGUUCUUCAUGGACUUUAUCUCUUCAUUCAUAGUAUCGAGCCACUUUUGAGAGUUAGAACUUUCCAUGGCUUGACGGAAGUUGAUCGGAUCAUCUUCCACCAUUCCAACGUCAAUUUCAUGUUCUUGAAGAAAUACGAUGUAAUCAUUCGAAACUGCACUUCUCCUCUCUCUAAUGGAUCUUCUUAAUGGCAUUGGUUCUUGAGGGUGUAGAGUUUGUUCUUCUGGAACAAUUUGUUGAUCUUGGAAGGGAGGUAUGACAUUGUCUUAGUCCAGAGUUGUUUCUUGAACAAUAUUAGGGAUAGAAACCUGAUCAUUGUCAAUGACAAUUGGAGGAAUUUCAACAUAUUCCUCCUCAAAGAAAAAGCCUGUAACCUUUUCUCCCCCCGCAAACUCAAUAUCCUAAAAAAACCUAGCAUUUCCUAUCUUGAAAAUUGCCUUAGUUGUGGGAUCAUAAAAUUUGUAACCCCUGGACCUUUCAAAAUAUCCAAUGAAAUAGCAACUGAUGGUCCUUGUGUCCAGUUUCUUUUCAUUUGGCUUAUAGGGCCUUGCCUCAGUUGGACACCCCCAAAUAUGUAUAUGCUUCAAACUAGGCUUCUUGCCCGUCCAAAACUCAUAUGGGGUUUUAUCAGUGGCCUUAGUUGGAACUCUAUUGAGUAUAUAAGUUGCAGUCUUUAAUGCUUCACCCCAGAGAGAUUCUGGUAAGGUAGAAUGACUAGUCAUACUCCUCACCAUGUCCUUAAGCGUUCCGUUUCGUCUUUCAGCAACACCAUUCAUAGUGGGCGAACUCGGCAUAGUGUACUGUGGGACGAUACAACAUUCCUCUAGGAAUUUAGCAAACGGUCCUGGACGCUAUUCACCUGAACCGUUAUAUCUGCCAUAGUAUUCACCCCCACGGUCAGAUCUGACGCUUUUAAGCCUUUUGCCGAGUUGGUUCUCAACUUCAGCUUUAUAGUUUUUGAACACAUCCAGUUACUGUGAUUUUUCAUGAACGAGAUAUAUGUAGCCAUAUCUUGAAAAGUCGUCUAUGAACGUUAUAAAAUAUUGUUGACCAUUCCAAGAACUCGUAGGGACUGGUCCACAAAUAUCCGUAUGUAUAAGUUCUAAGACGUCCGAAAUCCUAUUGGCUUGAAAUCUCAUUUUAUUGGUUUGUUUUCCCUUUAUACAGUUGACACACAAAUCAUAAUAUGUGAAGUCAAGAGGGACGAGAAUCCCGUCAAACACAAGUCUCUCAAUUCUCCUUUUGGAGAUGUGACCUAAUCUCUUGUGUCACAACGAGGCAGAAUUCUCGUCGUUUAAUUUUCGCUUCACACCUCGAGUACUUACAUGCAAGGUUUCAUUAUAAGAAACAAUUGUAUCAAUUGAAUAAAGAUUAUCGUAACCUGAUAAAGAACUGGAACCAACCAAUUUUGAAUCAUGAAACAAACUAAAUUUUUCAUUUCCAAAAGAAUAAGUAUAACCAAAUUUGUCUAAAACAAAAAUAGAAAUCAAAUUCUGUCUAAAAGACGAUACAAUAAAUGUCUCAACAAGAUCCAAAUAAAAUCCAUUCUUUAACAAUAAUCUAAAUUUUCCUAUUGCCUCUACUUUCAUUCUAUUGCCGUCACCAGCAUAGAUGUAUCUUUCACCAUCACUUGAUUUUCGGCAACUCAGGCAAUCUUGCAUAGACAUACUGAUGUGAGUUAUUGCACCAGAAUCUAUCCACCGUGUAUGUCUAGGUACCGAAGUUAAAUUAACCUCAGAACAAACCAAAUGAAGAAGAGUACCUUUCUUUACACGCCAUGCGUGGUAAUUGGUGCAAUUCUUCUUCUUAUGACCUGCAGCUCCACAGAAGAAACAACCGCCUUCAGUUGGUUCCUUAUACUGUUUCUUUUGUGGUGUCGUACCCGCAGCUUCCUUAUUAAUCUUCAUUUUCUUGUUGCUUUUAUCCUUAGAGGUGGUGGCUAAAUAAACACUUUCUGUCUUUUCAUGCUUCAGUCUUUCUUCUUUCUGGACACAGUGUGAGAUGAGCUCAUUAAGGGACCAUGAGUCCUUUUGACAGUUAUAGCUCACCUUGAAUUGACUGAAAUUUGCCGGAAGGGAUACCAGAACCAAGUGCACCAACAAGUCUUCAGAUAAAUUUAACUUGAGUGCCUUUAGUUUUGAAGCAAUGUGAGACAUUUCCAUAAUGUACUCCCGAAUGUUUCCUUUCCCUUUAUACCUCAUUGAGACAAGAUUUGCCAAAAGUGUACUUGUUUUAGCCUUUUCAUUCUUGGCAAACCUCUUCUCAAGGUCCUCAAAGAAACCCUUAGCCGUAGUCACCUUAUCGGACAUAGUGCCCCGGAAUACUUCUCGAAUAGCACGCUUCAUGACCAUUAAGCUUAUGCGGUUCGAUCGUUCCCACUUUUUCAUCUCCCGCUUGUCAUCAGAGGUACUCUUAUCAGUAAGUGCAGUAGGUUGAUCGACCCGUAAAGUAAGGUCUAGGUCCAUGACUCCGAGACCAAUCAUAACGUUCUCUUGCCAUGCCCUGAACUUUGUGCCAUUUAACAUUAGAAUAGAAUUGAUGCUAGCAGAGAUAUUAAUAGCAGAACCUGAAAUUGAAUUAGAGAACAUUUAUUAUGAAUAGCUCACAUAAUAUCUUUAAUAUGCAAAUAAUAAUAAUCUCAAAUAGUGGUAGGGCCCAUCACAAGAUACCAAGCACAACAUCAAUAUCCAGUCUUUGGAUAAAAAAAUUGACUUGUAAGCGGCACUCUUGGUGUAGUGAUCAAACAUUGACGAUAAAACAAUGUGUCAAUCAAUAAACCUUUCUUUGGACCGAUUUAUUGAUGACACAUUAAACCAAAUAAUCGUCACACGUUUAUCACCACAGGUGCACGUGUAUUCGGCUAAAUAUUGACCUUUCUUUGGGCCGAUCAAUAUUCCGAUGAAUAACACAUGCACAAACACUUUUUAACAUUCUAAGUUAGUCAAUUUUCACAAGAGAGGUUGCUUUGGCAACAUGCUGCUUCAAUUAACUAACUUUCGAAUAUUAUAUCUCUUAAAAGAGUUUUUAGUACCAAAAUUUGAGCAAGAGAAUCACCAAUUUUGCAUAUUUUGAUUAGUUUUAAACUUUAGGGGCCUUAGGAUUAAUAAUUCAAAACUUUAGGGGGGCAAAAUUAAUUAAUUCCAAACUUUAGGGGUUGAAAUUAAUGAACUUGAAACUUUAGGGACCAAAAUUAAUUAAUUCAAUACUUUAGAGGAUCAAUUAAAACAAAUUUUAAAACUUUAGGGGCCAAAAUUGACCAAUUCAAAACUUGAGGGAUCAAAUUUUAAAAAUUUGAAACUUUAGGGGUCAAUUUGAAUUAAUUAUGAACUUAGGGGGCAAAUUUGAACUAGUAAUUAAAGUUUGAGGGCUUUAAUUAUAAAUUCAGAACUUUAAUGGUCCGAAUUAAUUAAUUUUAAAUCUUAGGGACUGAAUUAUUAAAUCUGAAACUUAAAGGCCCAAAUCUCAAUAUAACUUAAAGGUUAGGGACUGAAACCUUAAAUUUAUAACCCUAACCCUAAUUGCAACCAGGGGCCUCAACUUAUCUAAUUUACAGAAGAGGCCCUCGUCCCAAAAUUCAGCCAAAAAACCAGAAAACCCUAAAAGAAAAAUUUUUCUUCUUUUUGGCGCCCGUCGGCGUCGCCUGAAGCAAUGGCGCCGGCGUGGGCGCCACAGCAUCUGUGGCGGCAAGGCCGUCGGCGAAUUCAAUUUUUUUUUUUUAAAUCUGUACUAAAAUCUGAAUUCCAAAUCUGAAUUUUCUAAACUGAAUCAAUCCGAAUGAAAAUAACAAAAUUAUACCGCAAAAAUUUUCAAAUUUAACAAAACAUAUAAUCAAAAAUUGUUAAAUCUGAAAAUUUCAAAAUAUAUUGCAAGAACCAAACUAAGCAUACCUGAAUCAGACAUGGUUAAUGCAAUAGGAAUGUCGCGGAAUGGUCUUCCAAAUCUACACGCAGUCUCCUUUUCUUCUCUGUGAUGGGAUGCAGUAGAAAAUGAAUAAUACGUUGCCUGUGAUUUGGAGACCAAAACCUAUUUAUAUAGGGAUUCCCUUUGACCUAAUUCGGCCCAUCAUAGAAUUAGGAUUUGGGCCCGGUCUCUACACAUAUGUAAACUCAUACUUUAAUUGGAUACAUUAAAGCCAAAAAUCGAAGCCUUUUUUAGAUCACUUUAAUUGGGUUCAACCGAAUUCGAUAGCCUAUAAUUUAACACAUACCUGAAUCAGACAUGGUUAAUACAAUAGGAAUUUCGCGAAAUGGUCUUCCAAAUCUACACGCAGUCUCCUUUUCUUCUCUGUGAUGGGAUGCAGUAGAAAAUGAAUAAUACGUUGCCUGUGAUCUGGAGACCAAAACUUAUUUAUAUAGGGAUGCCCUUUGACCUAAUUCGGCCCAUCAUAGAAUUAGGAUUUGGGCUCGGUCUCUACACAUAUGUAAACCCAUACUUUAAUUGGAUACAUUAAAGCCAAAAAUCGAAGCCUUUUUUAGAUCACUUUAAUUGGGUUCAACCGAAUUCGAUAGCCUAUAAUUUAACGCACAAUUAUUCACACAUACAAGUCCAUAUUUAAUUAAAAAUCCUUACAAAAAAAUCCAACUAAAAUGAGAGAUCAUCAAUCAAGACAUAAUAACAUUUAAAUCUUGACGGAGAUGUAAUUGUAGACGAACCCCACAAGUCAUGAUGAUGUCUUUCAAAUAAAAAAGAGCAAUGUUAAUCUAAAUUAGAAAAAACCAAAACAAGGAUCAAUAUUAAACUCGUUCUUAUUAGAAAAUAAAAUAGCACCAUGCUUAUGUAAAGAUGACAAAAUCCUAAUAGAAGGAAGUCCUAAACGUGCAUGCCAAAUGACAGAGGUGGCACAAUUAUAACAAAGAGCAGCAGAAGACAAAAAGUUUGCAUGGGCAUGAUCAAGCACAUGGAGGCCUUUUUCACAUCAAUCUUCCCACCACCGCUCUUUUUGCCAGAGCCUGUAUAACAAAGCCAGUAGAAGAAAGUGUUAUUGGAAAAUUGUUCUCUUGAGUAAACUUAAUGAUGAAAAUAAGAUUUUUGGUAAUGCCAGGAACAAGAAGAACAUUAGUCAUAGGUAACGAAUGGGAAGCAACAAUAGACCAAAUAGACUCAACAAGAGAUAUAGGUAAAGAAUGACCAUUACCAACAAACACCUUUUCAAUACCAUUGUAAGGAAUGGAGGAGUCAAAAGUCGAUGCAGCAUUAGUCAUAUGUGAUGUUGACCCUUUACCUGUGUACCACUAGUGUCGAGAGAGUCUGUAAGAGAGGUCUCUGAAAAAGCUUCAAUGGGACCACCAUCUUUAGCCUUUUUAGCAACUUACCAAGUUUAUAACAUUUCUUGGCUGUGUGAUUAUCUUUUCGACACCAUUGACAUGCAACAGCAGCAGAUUUGGAAGAGUUGCAACGGUCCACUUUGGGAGAGGUGUAAUGUUUGUUUCGACUAGAAGAAAUGGUGGAAGAGCCACGGUUAGAAAUGAGGGCAAAUUGCUGUUGAGCUUCACCAUGAAUGGAUUGAGAGAAGAGCUCAUGGCUAAGUGCUUGCGGGGACCAUGUUGGCGAAGGAAGGCAGUGGACGUUGUGACAGUAUAGUGGUGGAAAAAAAUUUAAAAUCAGGGCUAAGAUCCCCAAGAAACCAAUGUACUAUAACUAUAUCAUCAAGAAACUUUCCAAUGGCAAUAAAUUUAUCACAGAGAAAACGAAAAGAGUGAGUAUAUUCAGUCACACUACGAGAGCCAUGCUGGAGCAAUUGAAGUUUGUCUAGCUGAAUCUCACGUGUCUUGGAGCUGUGAGAAUAUGACGUUUCGAGGGUCAACCAAGCAUAACUGGAAAUAGCACAAUUGACAAUCUCGGCCAUACAGUCCUCGGACAUGGGAAGCAUAAAUGAGGCUAAGCAGCAUACGAUCUUGAGUACGCCAUUUCUUGUAGGCCUGAUUUGGAACCUAGCCAAUACCUUCGAUAAUAACAGGGGAAGGUGUAAUGGAUGAUCCGUCUAAAAAAUCUUAGGGACUGAAUUAUUAAAUCUGAAACUUAAAGGCCCAAAUCUCAAUAUAACUUAAAGGUUAGGGACUGAAACCUUAAAUUUAUAACCCUAACCCUAAUUGCAACCAGGGGCCUCAACUUAUCUAAUUUACAGAAGAGGCCCUCGUCCCAAAAUUCAGCCAAAAAACCAGAAAACCCUAAAAGAAAAAUUUUUCUUCUUUUUGGCGCCCGUCGGCGCCGCCUGAAGCAAUGGCGCCGGCGUGGGCGCCGCAGCAUCUGUGGCGGCAAGGUCGUCGGCGAAUUCAAUUUUUUUUUUUUUUUAAAUCUGUACUAAAAUCUGAAUUCCAAAUCUGAAUUUUCUAAACUGAAUCAAUCCGAAUGAAAAUAACAAAAUUAUACCGCAAAAAUUUUCAAAUUUAACAAAACAUAUAAUCAAAAAUUGUUAAAUCUGAAAAUUUCAAAAUAUAUUGCAAGAACCAAACUAAAACCUUUAAUUCUCAAUGAUUCAACAUGAAGAGGCUCUGAUACCACUUGUUGGAUAAUUUAGUUCUUUAAAUUACCAGAUCUUUCAUGUUAAAUCAUCAAGAAAUAUAAGAAUUAAAACGGAAACAUACCUGAAUCAGACAUGGUUAAUACAAUAGGAAUUUCGCGAAAUGGUCUUCCAAAUCUACACGCAGUCUCCUUUUCUUCUCUGUGAUGGGAUGCAGUAGAAAAUGAAUAAUACGUUGCCUGUGAUCUGGAGACCAAAACUUAUUUAUAUAGGGAUGCCCUUUGACCUAAUUCGGCCCAUCAUAGAAUUAGGAUUUGGGCUCGGUCUCUACACAUAUGUAAACCCAUACUUUAAUUGGAUACAUUAAAGCCAAAAAUCGAAGCCUUUUUUAGAUCACUUUAAUUGGGUUCAACCGAAUUCGAUAGCCUAUAAUUUAACGCACAAUUAUUCACACAUACAAGUCCAUAUUUAAUUAAAAAUCCUUACAAAAAAAUCCAACUAAAAUGAGAGAUCAUCAAUCAAGACAUAAUAACAUUUAAAUCUUGACGGAGAUGUAAUUGUAGACGAACCCCACAAGUCAUGAUGAUGUCUUUCAAAUAAAAAAGAGCAAUGUCAAUCUAAAUUAGAAAAAACCAAAACAAGGAUCAAUAUUAAACUCGUUCUUAUUAGAAAAUAAAAUAGCACCAUGCUUAUGUAAAGAUGACAAAAUCCUAAUAGAAGGAAGUCCUAAACGUGCAUGCCAAAUGACAGAGGUGGCACAAUUAUAACAAAGAGCAGCAGAAGACAAAAAGUUUGCAUGGGCAUGAUCAAGCACAUGGAGGCCUUUUUCACAUCAAUCGAUUCCCACCACCGCUCUUUUUGCCAGAGCCUGUAUAACAAAGCCAGUAGAAGAAAAUGUUAUUGGAAAAUUGUUCUCUUGAGUAAACUUAAUGAUGAAAAUAAGAUUUUUGGUAAUGCCAGGAACAAGAAGAACAUUAGUCAUAGGUAACGAAUGGGAAGCAACAAUAGACCAAAUAGAAUCAACAAGAGAUAUAGGUAAAGAAUGACCAUUACCAACAAACACCUUUUCAAUACCAUUGUAAGGAAUGGAGGAGUCAAAAGUCGAUGCAGCAUUAGUCAUAUGUGAUGUUGACCCUUUACCUGUGUACCACUAGUGUCGAGAGAGUGUGUAAGAGAGGUCUCUGAAAAAGCUUCAAUGGGACCACCAUCUUUAGCCUUUUUAGCAACUUACCAAGUUUAUAACAUUUCUUGGCUGUGUGAUUAUCUUUUCGACACCAUUGACAUGCAACAGCAGCAGAUUUGGAAGAGUUACAACGGUCCACUUUGGGAGAGAUGUAAUGUUUGUUUCGACUAGAAGAAAUGGUGGAAGAGCCACGGUUAGAAAUGAGGGCAAAUUGCUGUUGAGCUUCACCAUGAAUGGAUUGAGAGAAGAGCUCAUGGCUAAGUGCUUGCGGGGACCAUGUUGGCGAAGGAAGGCAGUGGACGUUGUGACAGUAUAGUGGUGGAAAAAAAUUUAAAAUCAGGGCUAAGAUCCCCAAGAAACCAAUGUACUAUAACUAUAUCAUCAAGAAACUUUCCAAUGGCAAUAAAUUUAUCACAGAGAAAACGAAAAGAGUGAGUAUAUUCAGUCACACUACGAGAGCCAUGCUGGAGCAAUUGAAGUUUGUCUAGCUGAAUCUCACGUGUCUUGGAGCUGUGAGAAUAUGACGUUUCGAGGGUCAACCAAGCAUAACUGGAAAUAGCACAAUUGACAAUCUCGGCCAUACAGUCCUCGGACAUGGGAAGCAUAAAUGAGGCUAAGCAACAUACGAUCUUGAGUACGCCAUUUCUUGUAGGCCUGAUUUGGAACCUAGCCAAUACCUUCGAUAAUAACAGGAGAAGGUGUAAUGGAUGAUCCGUCUAAGAAGCCCACAAGAUCUUGGCUUUCAAGAAGGGAAACAAACUGAUUGCGCCACAAAAGAAAAUUGGACGUAGUGAGUUUGAUGGUCACUAUAUGGAUCGUCGUAUUGAGUGGAAGCAUACUAGAACUAGAGCUAGAAUCAGCCAUGGAAAAAAAAAAAAAAAAGGUGUGAACCAUGGAGCACUGAUACAAUGAAAAAGAAUCUCUCAAUGUUAUUAAUGAAUACAUAGGUAGUGUAUUUAUACAUAAAAUACAGUAUGCAUCACUUUGAGCUCCAAUUUCCCACUGGAGCAUCACUUUUGGCAAAUAAAUAUAUAAUUUCGAUAUUCUCACGAAGGAGAGGCAAAUCAAUCUUGACCUUCAAAAAAAAAAAAACAAAUGUAUCCCACUCAAAAUUUAUGUCAAAAUCAGUCCUUCAAUCCAUUUUUUCCAACAUCAACCAUCCAAUCUUCACUAUGUUCAUAGACAAGCAGUUAACUGUGUUUGCCUCUAAUAUAUCCUUCUGUGCAUCGGGAAGCGUAAAAAAGGACCACUUGCCAAUGCAAAACUAAAGAAAAUGGAAAGAAGAAGUUGUCUUAAUAAUAAUAAGUUGUGUGUUUAAUUCACUCGUAAAUGAGUAUUAAUUAUUUUUUCUAAAAAUUGUAAAAGAAAUAGUAUACAUUAUUUUUUAACAUUAGAAUCUAACUCGGCAAUUUUCGUUGUACGAGAUUCCUGAGAAAUAGGAUCAAUUUGAUCAAACAAUUUAUUGAUAAAAGCAAUAAAACCAACUUUGCCAUAACCCUUUCCAAACAAGAAAGGUUAAAUGCAACAUGAUAUUAAGGCAAUAAGAGUAAUCAAAGUUCGUCAUGCGAAUCUAAUUGAUCAGAAAAUGAAGGAAAUUCGAUUUCAGAACCACAUCUUUCAUGUGGGAAAACUGGACAUUUAAUGAAAUUGGAUGCUGAGGUAUUGACACACAGGUAAACUUGGAAUAGCUGAUUAUUCCCUGAUGAAUCCACAUUGCAUUCUAUGGACGGAGCAUACCCGAUGCCUUCUUCAAUUUUAUAUCAUCAAGAAACUUUCCAAUGGCAAUAAAUUUAUCACAGAGAAAACGAAAAGAGUGAGUAUAUUCAGUCACACUACGAGAGCCAUGCUGGAGCAAUUGAAGUUUGUCUAGCUAAAUCUCACGUGUCUUGGAGCUGUGAGAAUAUGACGUUUCGAGGGUCAACCAAGCAUAACUGGAAAUAGCACAAUUGACAACCUCGGCCAUACAGUCCUCGGACAUGGGAAGCAUAAAUGAGGCUAAGCAGCAUACGAUCUUGAGUACGCCAUUUCUUGUAGGCCUGAUUUGGAACCUAGCCAAUACCUUCGAUAAUAACAGGGGAAGGUGUAAUGGAUGAUCCGUCUAAAAAGCCCACGAGAUCUUGGCUUUCAAGAAGGGAAACAAACUGAUUGCGCCACAAAAGAAAAUUGGACGUAGUGAGUUUGAUGGUCACUAUAUGGAUCGUCGUAUUGAGUGGAAGCAUACUAGAACUAGAGCUAGAAUCAGCCAUGGAAAGAAAAAGGUGUGAACCAUGGAGCACUGAUACAAUGAAAAGGAAUCUCUCAAUGUUAUUAAUGAAUACAUUGGUAGUGUAUCUAUACAUAAAGUACAGUAUGUGAUAAAUAUUAAAGAUAAAUAUAAACUAUUUACAUGAUAAAUACAAAAUAAGUAAGAACCUAAUCUAGUUUGUAUUAUGAAUAAAAAUAGAAUAAACUAAACUGAAUAGGAGUCUGUAGUUGGAGGCCAUAGAGAUUGGUAUGCUAAGAUUAAGGUAAUACUUUCCGAUAUUCAUCAAUGGAUUUUCCUCCAAUAGAUUCUCCUCCAAUACCCAUUCAUGAAGAUUUAGUAUUUCAGCAAAUGUAACAACAAGGUUUGGUCUUAUUGCUGAAAGGAGGAUUGGUCAACUUAGGUAUCAAGUUGCUACUACUGUAGCUAAAGCUGAUUAGGGUGCUUGGAGUAAUGUCAAAAGGAUGCGGAUUUUAAUUUUUUAGCGUCUUUUGAUUGUGUCUGAAUAAGAUUUUUAUUCUUUGAAACAGAGUUCUUUUAAUUGCUAAAUAUUUCUUUUGAUUGGUGAAAUAUUUAUUUAAAAAAAUAGCUUCAAAACGACAAUGUGCAAAUGAACAUUGUUGAAAAGUAAUGAUGACAUGCAAAUGAAUGUUGUUGAAAAAUAACAAUAAUGUUCAGAUGCAUAUUGCUAAAACAUUAAUGACAAUGUGCAAAUGGACAUUGUUGAAAGGUAAUGGCAAGCUAAAAAUUAGUGACAACGCAUUUUGCAUCCUUUAGCAACAUGCAUUUUUUGUUGAUAUAUCCAUUUAUUCCACGUCAACAUCGAAUUCUGCAACAUAUAGCUGCACCUUGGUAACGAUCCACAGCAACACAUUUUGCCCGGUGUAAAAUGCUAUUUUCCUGUACUAACAUUUUAUCCCAUUAUGAUGUAUACCACAAAACAAAUAUUAUUUCCCUAAUGUGUGUCCAUAUUAUAUCAUCUGUCACAAAAAAUAAUUUUAUUAAUUAUAGUAAAAAUAGAACAAGUAAUCUAAAAUUGCAGGAAAUAAUAAAAGAGUGAAUGAAUUUUCAACCAAGGCCUGUGUAAAAACAAUUUCCUUAAAACAGAUUCGUCCCUCAUUGUAGGUGUUUGAGGUUUAAUUUGAGCAUCAGCUACUCAAGAUACAAUAGAAAAACAGUAGAGUUUGAGCACUACAAACACUACUCCGACGAUUUGACUCAGUAUUUUAACGCUAUCACCAAGAUCUUGACAGAAUGUAUAAUUAUGUAUGUAGAGAGAGAAAAAAAUUAUGCAGAGAAACGAGUUUUUUUCUGUGCCUGCAAGGAAGGAAGAUAACUAGAUAAAUAAGUUGCAAAUGAGAAUUAACAGGCUAGGAGUUAUUUCAUUAACCACCAUUAACCUGGCUGUUAAUAUCUCCAUUAACACAAACAUGAUCAUAUGGGUUUCAGGAGUUAAAAGAAUUUGGAAUUUUUUUAUUGGAAAAAUAAUAAAAUAAAGGCAAAACAUUGACCCUCCUAAGGAGCUAAUUUUUGUUUCAUUCGGUUUAGUAUUCGUGUACGCAGAUUGUACCCACACACAAGUUCAAGGUCCAAAGUCUAUUUCGGUCCGUGAUUUAUGCCGUCGUACAUGCAUAUGGAAAGAGCCUUUGUACUACACAUUAUUCCACCAAUCCAAAGUAUAAUCAUAUUUAAAGUGGUCAGUGCAUUUAUCAAUUUUUCUAUGUGGGAUAACUUUAAAUUAGUUUCCCUUCUAAUACAAAAUCUCAUCCAAUGCAUCACUUUGAGCUCCAAUUUCCCACCGGAGCAUCACUUUUGGCAAGUAAAUAAAUGAUUUCGAUAUUCUCAUGGAAGAGAACGCAAAUCAAUCUUGAUCUUCCAAAAUAAACAAAUGCGUCCUACUCAAAAUUUAUGCCAAAGUGAGUCCUUUAAUCCAUUUUUUCCAACACCAACCAUCCAACCUUCACAAUGUUCAUAGAAAAGCAGUUAACUGUGUUAGCCUCUAAUAUAUCUUUCCGCGCAUAGGGAAGCGUAUAAAAGGACCACUUGCCGAUACAAAACUAAAGAAAAUGGAAAGAAGAAGGAAGUUGUCUUUUCUUGUAUUAUUGAAAUGUUUUAAUUAAAAAUUAUAAAAAAAAUAAAAUACGUUGUGUGUUUAAUUUACUCGUAAAUGAGUAUUAAUUAUUUUUUCUAAAAAUUGUAAAAGAAAUGGUAUACAUUAUUUUUUAACAUUAGAAUCUAACUCGGCAAUUUUCGUUGUACGAGAUUCCUGAGAACUAGGAUCAAUUUGAUCAAACAAUUUAUUGAUAAAAGCAAUAAAACCAACUUUGCAAUAACCCUUUACAAAUAAGAAAGGUUAAAUUCAACAUGAUAUUAAGGCAAUAAGAGUAAUCAAAGUUCGUUAUGCGAAUCUAAUUGAUCAGAAAAUGAAGGAAAUUCGAUUUCAGAACCACAUCUUUCAUGUGGGAAAACUGGACAUUUAAUAAAAUUGGAUGCAGGUAAACUUGGAAUAGCUGAUUAUUCCCUGAUGAAUCCACAUUGCAUUCUAUGGACGGAGCAUACCCGAUGCCUUCUUCAAUUGCUUGCUUUACACUCUCUAAACUGUAGAAUUUUCCAGGUUGGAUUCCUACGACAAAAUCUCACUUGAGUUAAUCUUGUUUAGAACGUCGCCUAAAUUUGGUUCGAUUACAUUUUGAGCCUUGUAACGUACCUGCAUUUUUAAGGACUUGUAGCAAAUUGGCUUUCUUCUUGAGAUCAAGAGCUGAUUGGAAGUACGUGUGUUGAUCAAGGGUGGUACAUGUUCCGUGUUUAUCCCCUUCAUG
RNAcentral lists this long non-coding RNA (16855 nucleotides) under Olea europaea (common olive). RNAcentral describes it as "long non-coding RNA (OEUR_LNC002231)". The record is from RNAcentral. Lineage: Eukaryota; Viridiplantae; Streptophyta; Magnoliopsida; Lamiales; Oleaceae.